GACUGCGGAGCAUCGAGCACCAGCACACCUCACCUGGACACAUUGACACGAGUAGUGCCUUCAAUAAAUUCACCCUCCGAGGCCUUUAUUGAAUUCCCCUUGUUGUGUGAUUCUUCACCCCAUUAUACUGGUGGAGAAUGCAGGCAUAAUUUAUGAAGAAUUACAGACAAGCAAAACCCCACAGCAUUGAGUUUGCCCCAGUCUACGACUGUCCCUUACCAUUGUUGAUUUUCCCCCUCUCUUUUUUUUUUUGUUUCUUGCAGGCGGCUGCUCCUCCUCAGCCAGGGAGGAUCUAGUAAAGCAUCUCACCGAGGUGGAACAUUUUGGCUUCUCUCUGGGCAUCCCACCGCUUCCCAGGUGGUGGAGCAAGUAAUAAUAGAUCACCUGCUACGAGAGCCGUUCCUCGUCCACUUCGGCUGGCAGCAGGCAUGCGGAACCCACACACCAUCACCGAUCUUGUGGAGGCCAUCAAGUUUGCAGAGGCGGCCCAACACCGUGAGGCUGGGGAGCGAGCACCGGCUUUUCCCCGGAGUGUGAACUAAGAGUGACGCACGCCAGAGGGCAUCCCGCAACCAGUAAGCAGGCUGGUGGUUCCCGGCCCACAGGAUGAGCCCAUGCCCACGGAACCUCCUCACUUACCAAAUUGGGCCUGGCUGGCAGGCUGCGUCGUCCACCAUGCACCACCGAUGGGGGUGCCGCGGAUGAAAGUAAAAGUUAAUGGACGAUCCUUCUCAGCCCUGCUGGAUUCAGGCAGCGCCAUCAGCCUGGUGCAGCUAAUCGUGUUGCCCCUCUGAGUGGAGACCCGGGCCCUCUUGCCCAUCACCUGUGUACAUGGAGACACACGACAGGUUCCCGCGCAUUGUGUCACCAUCUCGGCCACCCCUAUCAAAGUGGGAGCUGAGAGGGACCUCCCUGUCCCCGUGCUCCUCGGGAGAGACUGGCUGGGGUUCAACCAGCUGCUCGCUGCCACCGCCGAAACCAGAAGUCAACCUGAGGGCCUCAGCGGUACCUCGCCUUGCUACCCUCGGACAGCACCAGAGAUGGUGAGCCCCCCCCCCCCAAAAAAAACAUUACUACCUUUUACUUUGAUGUGUUUCGACAGGUGUCGGGGGUGAGAGGGGGUGUUUGCAAAGGAACAACACAGGGACAAAUGGUUAAACCAUUGCUGGUCACAGGUCAGAGUGUUCAGCGGGAAGGAAAACCAGCCGUCACCUCAUCUCACCUCAUCUCAACCUUUACUUUCAGUUUCCACUUAAGACUCUGUUCAUUGUUGUAGUUCUAUGGAAGCUAUGAUCUGAUUGGUCAUCUUUGCUCUGGUGGGCAUGGCUGCAGAUGACUUCAGAUCUGGAAGAGCUCAGUAAAACAGAACAGAAAGAGACAGCAUGUAUUAAAAACAACAUGUGUUACAUUUGAUACCAAGGCACACAAUAUCUUUCAGAAUCAGCUGUUUUGGGUUAAUUCGUGUUUGUAUCUGGUUUUGAAUAUCUCUUGUGAAUGUGAUCAGCAACCUUGUGGGCUACAACAAUGUUUAUUUUUCUUCAUUUGCAAUAUUUUUUAAAAAAUACAGUGUUAUCUAAAAUUAAGUAUAGAAAGAAGCAGAACAACAACAACAAAAAGGAUCUGAACAAUUAUUUUGUUUAUACAUAGACAUAAGAGAUAUAAUCACUGAUCGCUGUGAGCCUCAUCUAGCUCCUCCUGUAAAUGACAGCAGCUGAGCAGUGAAGGGAGAUCAAAGCUUUAAGGAUCUCUGAAUCAACUGAACCCUUUUUGAAGUGGUCAAACAUGAUGAAAUCUUUGAGAAAACAAUAUCAAUUAUUUUCGUGAAAGUGUAUCUUUUAAAUGUGAUCUACUAUCCUAAUUCAGUACAAUUAAAUAUGAAAAACUUCUGUAAAACUGUGCAUUAUUUUUAGUGUUUACAUGUAUUUGUGACCAGUGUUGGGGAAAUUUACUUUUAAAAGUAAUUGCGUUACAUUUUGUCAGCUGUGCUGGGCUUGCUUGUCUUUUUAAUAACAAAAAGAGAGAGUGUUAGACGUACAGUUUAUGAUGCUGAGAUGGAAAAUAUGUUAAUGUCAUUUAAGAAGAAAAUAAAGAAUGCAUUAAAUAUUGACAUUAAACUUUGACAUUGCAUGAAACUGUGAACUUGCACAAGUCAGAACUUCUGUUAUUGAGGUCAGUAAAUGUGUGUCUAAACUGUGAGAAUGUGGUUUAAAGUGCUGCAAUGAUCUUCAGCUGAAGCACACAGUGUUAGAUGAUGUUUCUGUGUGUUCAUGUUCAUGAAAGUGUGAGAUCUUCUGCAGUUUUUUCUUACAACCACAAAGUAACUUUCUGAAAACCUGUUUGACUGAAAAAUACCUUUGAUAAAUAUCAGAAAUGAGAGUUUUCAGAUCCAGAAUGAUGUUUUCUUUCCUCCGAACUCUAAUCCUGAUUCUCCUGUGUGAUGUGUUUGGUUCAGAUGAUGUGAAGUCAGUGUCAGUGUUGGAGGGAGAUUCUGUCUCUCUGAACACUGAUGUUACUGAAGUACAGAGUGAGCAGAAAAUUAUGUGGACGUUUGGACCUCAAAGGACUCAAAUAGCUAGAAUAUAUAAGCAGAACAUUGAUACAGAUGCCACUAAUACAAUAUUAGAAAACAGACUCCAGAUGGACAAUCAAACUGGAUCUCUGACCGUCAGAAACAUCAGAUCUGAACACUCUGGACUUUAUGAACUACAGAUCUAUAUCUACAGAGAAAUGUCAGUCAA
Long non-coding RNA from Carassius gibelio (silver crucian carp), 2738 nucleotides. RefSeq lists it as uncharacterized. The transcript is spliced from 3 exons. The record is from RefSeq and is a predicted model, not a curated record. Lineage: Eukaryota; Metazoa; Chordata; Actinopteri; Cypriniformes; Cyprinidae.